This 691-nucleotide long non-coding RNA is filed under the name Setaria viridis. RNAcentral describes it as "long non-coding RNA (SVIR_LNC003434)". The record is from RNAcentral. Lineage: Eukaryota; Viridiplantae; Streptophyta; Magnoliopsida; Poales; Poaceae.
CAAGCACAACUUGAUUGACCUCGUCGAGAAGGCUUUCCCUGCAAGCGAAUCGGAGGACACAAGAAAGAAAGUAUAAGCGCGCAAUCUAAUAUUGAAAAUAUGAAUGAAGUAAAGAAGGGUUCAAGCUCUCAAUUCGAAAGGACUAAUCAACACAGUCGAGGAGAACAAGAACAUGGGCCCUGGAUCACUAUAAAAGGACUUGUCACCACAGUUACAACGAAUCAAUCUCAGUUUCUCAAAGGAAAACUAGAACUAAACAAAACCUGAGUUUCUAAGGUGGCGGCUACUGAGUUUAUAUCAAAAGGGGUGAACUAGGGUUGGGGGCGACCAGGAAGGGGGUGCCCACAACUUGGGCUUAAGGUCCGACACGAUACAAAGCCAAGUUGGCCCAAAACUGGUGAUGCAGCAGCUUGUCGUGCUCACACAGAAUGAUCCACGAUCCUUCUAGAGCUAGGACCAGAACCAAAAGAACAGCAUCAUCAUCCCCAACGCAUCAAAGAACGCCUUGUUUCAAUGUUGUAUGAGGGAGAUAUGGCCAAAACCGUGCAAGAGUGUCGGCUGAAUCCGAGACAAACGCGAUGACCGAGUUGGUGAUGACUUGUAACUUGGGGAAGACCAUGACUCGUGUGUGUCCAGCAUGGCGAUGUCCUCAUCAUCCUCCCCUUCUUGAAUUGGAUUCAUCCUUGACUCC